This 252-nucleotide ribosomal RNA is filed under the name uncultured Coprobacillus sp. RNAcentral's name for it is "partial 16S ribosomal RNA". It matches the Rfam family "Bacterial small subunit ribosomal RNA", at positions 524 to 776 of the family's 1533-position model. Lineage: Bacteria; Bacillati; Bacillota; Erysipelotrichia; Erysipelotrichales; Coprobacillaceae. The record is from RNAcentral.
UACGUAGGUGGCGAGCGUUAUCCGGAAUCAUUGGGCGUAAAGAGGGAGCAGGCGGCAGCAAGGGUCUGCGGUGAAAGACCGAAGCUAAACUUCGGUAAGCCGUGGAAACCGGGCAGCUAGAGAGCAUCAGAGGAUCGCGGAAUUCCAUGUGUAGCGGUGAAAUGCGUAGAUAUCACGCAGAACCCCGAUUGCGAAGGCAGCAUACCGGUGCACAACUGACGCUCAGGCACGAAAGCGUGGGUAUCGAACAGG